CUAAAAGCGAUGACGGGAACAAGAUAUUUUGGUAUUUCUUCAGAGAGCAGCUGUAUGGUGAAAAGCUGUGAUUACCUUUAUAUGUAUAGCUCAUCCCCGAGUUUUCUGUGCGAGGUUAUGUAGUGCAGAACGCAAGACUGCGUUAUCGGUCAGGACUUUGUUGGAAGUCUGUAAGGGGUGUACAGUGAUGUGCACCUAAAACCGGGUGGUACCACGGAUGUUUUAUUCGUCCCUUUU
This 237-nucleotide non-coding RNA is filed under the name Eubacterium sp. Its description in RNAcentral is "T-box sequence". It matches the Rfam family "T-box leader". Rfam says of the family: Uncharged tRNA acts as the effector for transcription antitermination of genes in the T-box leader family. T-boxes are found upstream of many aminoacyl-tRNA synthetase genes and some amino acid biosynthetic genes usually in Gram-positive bacteria. The anticodon of a specific tRNA base pairs to a specifier sequence within the T-box motif, and the NCCA acceptor tail of the tRNA base pairs to a conserved bulge in the T-box antiterminator hairpin. Lineage: Bacteria; Bacillati; Bacillota; Clostridia; Eubacteriales; Eubacteriaceae. The record is from RNAcentral.